CCGAAGGUUCGUGGCGAUUUCCCGGCAACUUGCGGCCACGUUAAACAAUCCGCUAAAGCGCCCGCCCGGCGCAUCCA
RNAcentral lists this non-coding RNA (77 nucleotides) under Gemmatimonadota bacterium. The record is from RNAcentral. Lineage: Bacteria; Pseudomonadati; Gemmatimonadota.